Molecule: long non-coding RNA, 1404 nt
Filed under: Fragaria vesca (wild strawberry)
Lineage: Eukaryota; Viridiplantae; Streptophyta; Magnoliopsida; Rosales; Rosaceae
Description: long non-coding RNA (FVES_LNC001382)
Source: RNAcentral
AUUACUCACCUAGAUGAGGGCUACAAGUUGAGCCAAAAAUCACGACCUAUGGUGGCCGGAGGACGGAGCUCCGGCGAAGACACAGUCGGCGGUUCCGGCGGCUUUUUCUCCUCUCCGGCGAGUUAGAGGCUCGGGGGCUAGGCCGGGGAGGGAGAGGAGGUGACGGGGGUCCGAUCUGGGCUGGAGCGGCGGCAGCUGGUGGCCGGACGGCGGCGGGAGGCGGCCGGAAGUCUGCCGGGUGUAGAGAGAAAAACUCGGGUGGGAAGAGAAGAAAAAUCGGGAGGAAGAGAGAGAGAAAGGAAGAAGAAAUGGGUUGGGCUCGGCCCAGCCGGCCCAACUCNCCUUUUUAACCCAAAAAUUCCAAAAUUUAACACCCCGAAAAAAUAAUACCCGAAUAAAAAUUACCUUNNNNNNNNNNNNNNNNNNNNCCAACUCCGGCAACCUGCAAAUGCCACCAAAUUUUAACAGAAUCUUCCUCUCAAUCUCCUCUACAACUUUCAUGACCAACACAAACUCCAAUUCUAAGCCUAACCAUGUCAAUCGAACACAAACAACCAUAAAUCCCUAAAACUUUCAAUUAUACAAACCACCCUAACGAAAUCGAAUUAAGCCGAAACCUUUUGAGGGAUUACUCACCUAGAUGAGGGCUACAAGUUGAGCCAAAAAUCACGACCUAUGGUGGCCGGAGGACGGAGCUCCGGCGAAGACACAGUCGGCGGUUCCGGCGGCUUUUUCUCCUCUCCGGCGAGUUAGAGGCUCGGGGGCUAGGCCGGGGAGGGAGAGGAGGUGACGGGGGUCCGAUCUGGGCUGGAGCGGCGGCAGCUGGUGGCCGGACGGCGGCGGGCUGCGGUGGCGAAUUUUUUCCGGGUGGAGGGAGAAAAACUCGGGUGGGAAGAGAGAGAACGGGAGGGAGAGAGAGAGAAAGGGAAAAGAAGAAGAAAUGGGUUGGGCUCGGCCCAGCCGACCCAACUCUCCUUUUAACCCAAAAUUCCAAAAUUUAACACCCCGAAAAAUAAUACCCGAAUAAAAAUUACCUUUUACUAGCUAAAAUUUACUAUUUUUACCGUCGUCGUAUUUUCCUCAUACGAAUAAUCCUCCACACAUAAUCGUCCCCGAAACCCCUCUAGGGACCAAUUAAACUAUUUACUCAAUGAUCGAGACGGUAAAAUUCUUAUUAUAAUCACGCUAGUAAAUAAGGUAAAAAUAUAAGGGUCGGGAUGUGACAAUUAAUUGUAAUAUCCCACAUCGGCCAAACAGAGCGGGGGGUUAUGUGCUGUAUAUGUACAUGCCCACCAUCAAUCUAACACGAGGCCUUUUGGUGGCUCAGCGGCUUCGGAGGGGAUGGGUACUCCGAGGUUAAGCAUGUUGAUGCUAGAGCAAUCCCAGGAUGGGUGACCUCCUGGG